Molecule: ribosomal RNA, 75 nt
Filed under: uncultured bacterium
Lineage: Bacteria
Description: partial 16S ribosomal RNA
Source: RNAcentral
UGCCGCGUGCGGGAUGAAGGCCUUCGGUUGUAAACCGCUUUCAGCAGGGACGAAAAUGACGGUACCUGCAGAAGA